This 277-nucleotide ribosomal RNA is filed under the name uncultured Facklamia sp. RNAcentral's name for it is "partial 16S ribosomal RNA". It matches the Rfam family "Bacterial small subunit ribosomal RNA", at positions 505 to 782 of the family's 1533-position model. Lineage: Bacteria; Bacillati; Bacillota; Bacilli; Lactobacillales; Aerococcaceae. The record is from RNAcentral.
GUGCCAGCCGCCGCGGUAAUACGUAGGUGGCAAGCGUUGUCCGGAUUUAUUGGGCGUAAAGGGAGCGCAGGCGGUGACUUAAGUCUGAUGUGAAAGCCCACGGCUCAACCGUGGAAGGUCAUUGGAAACUGGGUCACUUGAGUGCAGAAGAGGAAAGUGGAAUUCCAUGUGUAGCGGUGAAAUGCGUAGAUAUAUGGAGGAACACCAGUGGCGAAGGCGACUUUCUGGUCUGUAACUGACGCUGAGGCUCGAAAGCGUGGGAGCAAACAGGAUUAGA